This 460-nucleotide ribosomal RNA is filed under the name uncultured bacterium. Its description in RNAcentral is "partial 16S ribosomal RNA". It matches the Rfam family "Bacterial small subunit ribosomal RNA", at positions 338 to 795 of the family's 1533-position model. The record is from RNAcentral.
CCUACGGGUGGCAGCAGUGAGGAAUAUUGGGCAAUGGACGAGAGUCUGAACCAGCGAAGUAGCGUGAAGGAUGACUGCCCUAGGGGUGGUAAACUUCUUUUAUAUGGGAGUAAAAUGUCCCACGUGUGGGAUUUUGUAUGUACCAUAUGUAUAAGGAUCGGCUAACUCCGUGCCAGCAGCCGCGGUAAUACGGAGGAUCGGAGCGUUAUGCGGAUUUAUUGGGUGUAAAGGGAGCGUAGGUGGAUUGUUAAGUCAGUUGUGAAAGUGUAGGGCUCAACCGUAGAAGUGCAGUUGAAACUGGCAGUCUUGAGUACAGUAGAGGUGAGCGGAAUUCGAGGUGUAGCGGUGAAAUGCUUAGAUAUCACGAAGAACACCGAUUGCGAAGGCGGCUAACUGGAAUGUAACUGACACUGAGGCUCGAAAGUGUGGGUAUCAAACAGGAUUAGAUACCCGAGUAGUC